AUGGAACAGGAAGGGGACAACAUGGUAUCUCGAUCAGCAUCUGAUAUAGCUGGGGAUGGCAUCCUGCCACAACAACAUGGUCCUGCUGGGGACGGUGAAGAAACAGACCCCACACAAUACUAUGAAAAUAGGCUGAAGAUGCUCGAUUCGCUUAGAAGCGCGGGCGUCGAGCCCUAUCCGCACAAGUUCGAUAUCGCGAUCUCCAUCGCAGACUAUGUGGCCAAGUACAACAGCUUGGGUGCUGGCGAACAUUUGCUGACUGUCACUGAAAGCUUGGCUGGGAGGGUCAUGAGCAAGAGAGUUUCCUCAUCCAAACUCUUCUUUUAUGAUCUCUAUGGCGAUGGGGUGAAGGUUCAAGUCAUGGCUGGGGCCAGCUACUCAGAGGUGGCCGAAACUGAAUUCUACAAGUGCCACAGUGUUGUGAAGCGGGGCGAUAUUGUCGGUAUAAUUGGAUACCCAGGUAGGAGUAGCAGGGGCGAACUUAGCAUAUUUGCCAGAAAUUUAAUAUUGCUCUCCCCAUGCCUCCAUAUGCUACCGAACCAGAGAACUGGGCGUUGCACUGCUGUUGCUGGCAAGACAACAAGAGCAAAAGCUGAUGCUGAUUGUUGGGUUCCAGGAAUAGGAAGGAACACUGAAGCUUAUGUUUUAAAGGACCAGGAAACUCGCUACCGCCAGAGAUAUCUCGACCUCAUGGUAAACCAUCAAGUGAGACAUAUCUUUAGAACACGAUCCAGGGUCAUUUCCUUCAUCAGAAGGUUCCUCGAUGAACGCAACUUUUUGGAGGUUGAGACACCAAUGAUGAACUUGAUUCCUGGGGGAGCAUCUGCAAAACCUUUUGUUACACAUCACAACGAACUAAACAUGGAUCUCUACAUGAGAAUUGCUCCUGAACUCCAUCUGAAGCAGUUGGUUGUGGGUGGCUUGGACCGUGUUUAUGAGAUUGGAAAGCAAUUCAGGAAUGAAGGGUUUGAUUUAACUCACAGUCCUGAAUUUACAGGAUGUGAAUUCUAUAUGGCUUAUGCAGACUACAAUGACCUGAUGGAGCUUACUGAAACCAUUUUGUCGGGUAUGGUGAUGGAGCUGACUGGUAGUACUAAGAUAAAAUACCAUGCGAAUGGAGCUGAUAACCCUCCCAUAGAGAUCGAUUUCACACCUCCUUACAGAAGGAUAGAUAUGAUGCAGGCACUGAAAUCUAUCGCUGGGCUUGACAUUCCAUCAGAUUUGUCAAGCGACGAGGCUAACAAAUACCUCGCGACAACGUGUGAGAAGUAUGGAAUCAGAUGCUCGCCGCCUCAAACAACAGCACGGUUGCUUGACAAGAUUACUGGGCAUUUCCUGGAGGCCACAUGUGUGAACCCAACUUUUAUCAUCAAUCAUCCAGAGAUAAUGAGCCCACUGGCCAAAUGGCACAGGACUCAGUCAGGACUGACAGAAAGAUUCGAGUUAUUCAUCAACAAGCAUGAGGUAUGCAAUGCCUACACCGAGUUGAACGAUCCAUUGGUGCAAAGACAACGAUUUCAAGAGCAGCUGAGGAGUCGGCAAUCGGGAGACGACGAAGCGAUGGCGCUCGAUGAGGCGUUCUGCACUGCUCUCGAGUAUGGUUUGCCACCAACGGGCGGUUGGGGGAUGGGAAUUGAUCGGAUCGCAAUGCUUCUAACGGACUCGCAGAACAUCAAGGAGGUUCUUCUAUUCCCAACGAUGAAGCCCCAACUACCUGGGUAG
Molecule: ribosomal RNA, 1722 nt
Filed under: Triticum aestivum (bread wheat)
Lineage: Eukaryota; Viridiplantae; Streptophyta; Magnoliopsida; Poales; Poaceae
Description: partial small subunit ribosomal RNA
Source: RNAcentral